AAAAAUGUCUGAAACAAUAUUAAUUAAUUAAAAACAUGUUGACUACAAAAUCAAAUGCUUUAUUUUAGUAACCAUCAGUUCUUGAGUUACCUACUCUAAGACAAAUAUAAUGAUGAAAUUAAUGAGGGUGGCCCCAUUUUGUUUUGAGUAGUACAGUUAUUUAACGUAUUUAUGAUAUUUUUAAAAUUUUGAAAAUGUUAAUAUUGGGAUUCAAGGAAUCAUACAUCAAAUACAGUAAAACGAGUUACAUAAAAACCGGGGGGUAAGUAGGUACAAGAAUGGGGAAUGGGAAAAUAAAAAACGUUUACUUCAAUAUUACCGAAAUACACUCCAAUUUUAUUUGUUAGCGUAGGUAGAUGUAGAUUAUUAUAGUAACGUAAAUGUGGGUACCUAUAAAUGUUAAGAAACUUAAUCUUCAGUAAUAUAAAAUUAAUCGCUAUUGUUAAUUUCAAAUCUCGAGAAAAACUGAAUCGCUUGCGUUAAUUCUUCUUUGUUGGUUUUGUUAUAAUUAGGAGAAGACGCUUAUGUAAGAAAAAAUAAAGAUGCGCAGACACAUUUUCAACGCAAAACAAAUUACUUGGGCUAGAUUAGAAAAAAGGAAAUUUUAUAUUGUAUUCAUUAUAAUUUUGUGAUUUUACAUAAAAUUAUAUCUAAUCCAAUUAUUCAUAAAUAAUCGAUAAAAAUAAACGAUAGACGAUACUAUCAAUAUUUAUAAAUUCUCGACCAUGGCAAUGUUUUAUAGACAUUUCAAUAACAUUUUCUGUCAGUUGUCAUGUCAAUGGCAUCUUUGUUUUGUUGAGUUUGUUUGUUGUUCUUGUCAUAUGCGGCGUGUAAAUUCAAAUGUAUGUGCGUUUUUAGGUGUUUUUAAAUAAUUAUGUGGAUAGUCAACUAUGCGGAUUCCGAAUCAAAAUAGGUCAUUCUAUGAAGAAACUUGUGGAUAAAAAUCCAAAAGCUUAUUUUAUGAUCAAUGUCAAAGGCGUUUACAAACACAAUGAUUACAUCUUAGUGCAUUGUUUGGAAACAAGAAAGAUAUACAUAUAUCCACAGCAAGACUCUGCCACUCAAUGUGCAUUUACUUCCGUGCAGUGUUGUAUGGCAUUGUGACUUGUGCCAUAAAUGACAUUCCUUUGACCUUACAACAAGCUGAGUGGUCAAAGUUACGGUAGAAAAUCCACCCCAUUCAGCAAAUUUAAUUACAAACCUUCAUUUGUACUUAUGGAGUAUUUUAAAUAGGAUCAUACAAAGAGAAUGGGUCAAAGUAAGGGUAGGACUUCAAAAAGUUGGCACCAAGUGCAGUAGCGGUGUGCGUAUGCACUUUUACUUGGAAUUUAAAAUUAAAUGUGAAUAUGGAAGGUGGUAAUGAGAUUUUUGAUAUCUUAAGGCACAUUAGCAACCUUUAAUGCAUAAGAAAAUAAAGAAUCGGUAACCAUGAGAUAAGUUUUGUACCUGCUCAUAAAGCUGUAAAGUGGUGGCAUAUAAUUUUUUUUUUCAUAAAAUUUUAUGGGAAUUGGAGCGGUUGCGGUUCCUCAUCCUGAAUUCUUGUCCUAUCUCAACUCUGUUCACAGUUCCUGCUGACCUCCUCAUCAUCCUCUUGCCCACUUCCUUAUUGGCCGACUGUUGACAGUUCCAGCUUCAGAAGACUUGACAAACGAGCCGCCUGGCAGACAGAGUCGAACAAUUACGCCAACACUUCUUGGCGCUAGUCUAAGGAGUAAAUUGGAGAGCUACAACUACUUAUAAUUGUAUUUUGUAUAAUAAACGAUUACCACUGUACAAAUAAAUAAUUCAUUGAAUACGAAGCAACCCCAAGCAAAAAUCCCAUCAAACAAACAUCCAGAUAUUAUAUUCACGAAGUGUGUUCUUAGUACCUAAUUCUAAUUUACAGGUACAAAUUCAUCUCAUGACGUGGAAGGUUCAGUCAGCAUCAACUAUGGAAUCUCUGGGGGAUUAUCGACGGCGAAUGGGAGACGGAGUGGAAACGACGUCACCAGUUCGUGCGAGAUACCACUUCAGAGGCAUCGUAACUGAUAGCGGGAGUCGACACCUCUCCCGAAAAGAAACUCUACGCUUCUUAUAUUAAAGAAACCUCCACCGUGCCGAGAGUUUCUACUGCAGUUAAUAGAAUGUGUAUUUCGCAAUCAAAGAACUUUUGUAGAAACGCCGCCUGCACCAGUCGGAAUAGAUGAAUCUCCACUAUUGCAGUCCCUCGCUGGGUUCACCAGGAGAGCCAAUCCGAUGAAUUAAAUUAUGUCUACCGUUAUACAGACAAUUUUGGAGCGAUUGCGUUCAUGACUAACAACAACGAACAAAACGGCCGCCAGCCUCCUUUACCGCCACAGCCGCAGACCUCAAAUCGACAAUCUACAGAUCAAAAAAAUUUUGUUUAGGAAAUGUCACGACUUUGUUUGGGGCAUAUGUAAUGAAGGUGCUCAGUGUAAAUUUCGACACGAGUUAAAUGUGAAAUAUAUGAAAGAAAUCUUUGAGGUUUUGUCACGAUUAUCAGAACAAAAC
Long non-coding RNA from Spodoptera frugiperda (fall armyworm), 2511 nucleotides. RefSeq lists it as uncharacterized. Lineage: Eukaryota; Metazoa; Arthropoda; Insecta; Lepidoptera; Noctuidae. The transcript is spliced from 7 exons. The record is from RefSeq and is a predicted model, not a curated record.